This is a long non-coding RNA of Nothoprocta perdicaria, 313 nucleotides long. RefSeq lists it as uncharacterized. The record is from RefSeq and is a predicted model, not a curated record. NCBI's taxonomy places the organism in Eukaryota, Metazoa, Chordata, Aves, Tinamiformes, Tinamidae. The transcript has 2 exons.
AGUUGACCCCUUUUUCAGCUACCGAUAAUAAUCACAUGUAUUACAUUUUGGUAUAUAUUUUAUUCUGCAACCACUAGCACAAAGCCUAUAAAUCCACCUAGGCUCUAUGUAAUAUUUGAAAUGCACAAGACAUUCAUUUACAGGAGAGAAGACAAAUGAAUUUUUGUCAGCAACAUGGAAUUACAAUGUUUCUACACUGAAACUGCUGAACAUGAGCUCUGCAUGUCUGCUGCUUCUCUAUUUAUGAGGCUUUAAAACAUUUUGCCAUCCUUUCAAGGAAGAAUACUUCUUCAGUGUUUGAUGUACCAUUCCA